UUGCUUUAUAUCCCCAAAGUCCGGUUUGUCCUGUAUGCAACUGACUUCCUUGGGCCCACCUCCUUUAGCCGACUAAGCCCUGUCCAAUCCUCAUUAAAUGCAAUGCAGAGAUGACAGUCAAAGUUCUAUCCCCAAUCUACACCGGUCAAAGCCCAAGUGGAACCACACUCAUCUAGUAAUCUGGCCCACUGCUACAGCCCAAUACUUCAUAGGCCCCAAAAUAAAGAUAAUAUCCACCCAAUGGGCUGGCCCAAUGAACCGGCCUAAUACUUUCAAGACCCACCUCAACAUGUCUAAAGUAUUAUGGCCCAACAUUGCCCCCCAGUCUUUUAUUAAACAGGAGGUUUAAUGAAAGAGUAUAAGUGGAAUCGGUCCAGAAUAAAAGGAAUUAUAAUGAGAUCAACAAAGGCCCAAGAUACAACUUACCGAGGCCCAAAAGAGAAGCCCACUCCGGUUAACAAUGAAGACUAAAACCGCACGCUACUUCUUUAACUUCACAAUCACCGUUGGCAUUAAAUGAGCCACCCCUGAACCUUGUGAAAAGUUGAAGAGAACUCUAGUAUAAAAGCUGCUUUCUCCCAAAUCUAACAGUUUUACCAACUCAAUUCGAAAUUCGGAUAUUCCUUACUCCUCUUCUUCUC
This 641-nucleotide long non-coding RNA is filed under the name Panax ginseng (ginseng). Its description in RNAcentral is "long non-coding RNA (PGIN_LNC013930)". Lineage: Eukaryota; Viridiplantae; Streptophyta; Magnoliopsida; Apiales; Araliaceae. The record is from RNAcentral.